This 369-nucleotide ribosomal RNA is filed under the name uncultured bacterium. RNAcentral's name for it is "bacterial SSU rRNA". It matches the Rfam family "Bacterial small subunit ribosomal RNA", at positions 527 to 894 of the family's 1533-position model. The record is from RNAcentral.
AGAGGGUGCGAGCGUUAAUCGGAAUGACUGGGCGUAAAGGGCGCGUAGGUGGUUAAUUAAGUAAGAGGUGAAAUCCCCGGGCUUAACCUGGGACUGGCUUUUUAGACUGGCUAACUGGAGUGCAGUAGAGGGUAGUGGAAUUUCCGGUGUAGCGGUGAAAUGCGUAGAUAUCGGAAGGAACACCAGUGGCGAAGGCGGCUACCUGGACUGAGACUGACACUGAGGCGCGAAAGCGUGGGGAUCAAACAGGAUUAGAUACCCUGGUAGUCCACGCUGUAAACGAUGAGAACUAGAUGUUGUGUAGCUUAGACUAUACAGUAUCGUAGCAAACGCGAUAAGUUCUCCGCCUGGGGAGUACGACCGCAAGGU